This 54-nucleotide transfer RNA is filed under the name Rhipiphorothrips cruentatus. RNAcentral's name for it is "tRNA-Val". Lineage: Eukaryota; Metazoa; Arthropoda; Insecta; Thysanoptera; Thripidae. The record is from RNAcentral.
GUCAAAUCCAAAAUUUUUUACACAAAUUUAUAAGUAUUUUUACUAUUUGGCCCC